UCGAAUUGCUAAUGUGCAAAAAGUCUCUUCGUAAGAACUUAAAUAAAUCUGAUUCUGCUUCUCAACGAAGUGAAAAGGCUGUGAUAGGCAAUAUCAGUGAAUGCACUGUUUGCCAUAAAGAAACCAACGAGCAAGUCAUUUGUACUAUGUGUGCUUAUUCUUGCUGCAAGAAGUGCACGGUCGAGUGCGAAAAAUGCGCAUUGCUCUUCUGUUCUCUUUGUAGCAUCAAGAAUUAUGACCAGCGCGAAGAUAGAGUGUUCUGUAUCCUUUGCAGCUAGACAGCUAUGGCAUAGCAGCGCACAGAAUUAAAUCGUUUUCAGGACGUUGCUUUAUUUUUUGUACAUGCUUUAUACGUGCGCUUCAAGACUUCGUAUCUUUCUCUUUAUUGGUAACGGGCUCUACUAGUAUUUUAAAUGCGUCAGCUUCGAUUCUGCUAUGAAGCUAUCGAUUUUGUUCCAAAUUUGCAACAAAGCCGUUUGGUCUACAUGCCUGGCGCAUCUGCUCAACGUUACAAUUGUAACGUUCCAAUUUGCAAUUGUAUCUUGUGGAAUUUUUUCUCCUUCAAACCGUACAUAAAAGCCACAGUGCUUGCGAAA
This is a long non-coding RNA of Schistocerca gregaria, 596 nucleotides long. RefSeq lists it as uncharacterized. The record is from RefSeq and is a predicted model, not a curated record. NCBI's taxonomy places the organism in Eukaryota, Metazoa, Arthropoda, Insecta, Orthoptera, Acrididae. The transcript has 2 exons.